CCAGACUCCUACGGGAGGCAGCAGUGGGGGAUAUUGCACAAUGGGCGAAAGCCUGAUGCAGCGACGCCGCGUGUGGGAAGACGGUCCUCGGAUUGUAAACCACUGGCUUUGGGGACGAUAAUGACGGUACCCAAGGAGGAAGCUCCGGCUGACUACGUGCCAGCAGCCGCGGUAAUACGUAGGUGGCAAGCGUUAUCCGGAUUUACUGGGUGUAAAGGGCGUGUAGGCGGGAAAGCAAGUCAGAUGUGAAAACCAUGGGCUCAACCUGUGGCCUGCAUUUGAAACUGUUUUUCUUGAGUACUGGAGAGGCAGACGGAAUUCCUAGUGUAGCGGUGAAAUGCGUAGAUAUUAGGAGGAACACCAGUGGCGAAGGCGGUCUGCUGGACAGCAACUGACGCUGAGGCGCGAAAGCGUGGGGAGCAAACAGGAUUAGAUACCCUCGUAU
RNAcentral lists this ribosomal RNA (445 nucleotides) under uncultured bacterium. RNAcentral describes it as "partial 16S ribosomal RNA". It matches the Rfam family "Bacterial small subunit ribosomal RNA", at positions 331 to 793 of the family's 1533-position model. The record is from RNAcentral.